GACGAACGCUGGCGGCGUGCUUAACACAUGCAAGUCGAACGGAAAGGCCCUGCUUUUGUGGGGUGCUCGAUUGGCGAACGGGUGAGUAACACGUGAGUAACCUGCCCUUGACUUUGGGAUAACUUCAGGAAACUGGGGCUAAUACCGGAUAGGAGCUCCUGCUGCAUUGUGGGGGUUGGAAAGUUUCGGCGGUUGGGGAUGGACUCGCGGCUUAUCAGCUUGUUGGUGGGGUAGUGGCUUACCAAGGCUUUGACGGGUAGCCGGCCUGAGAGGGUGACCGGCCACAUUGGGACUGAGAUACGGACCAGACUCCUACGGGAGGCAGCAGGGGGGAAUAUUGCACAAUGGGCGGAAGCCUGAGGCAGCAACGCCGCGUGCGGGAUGACGGCCUUCGGGUUGUAAACCGCUUUCGCCUGUGACGAAGCGUGAGUGACGGUAAUGGGUAAAGAAGCACCGGCUAACUACGUG
Molecule: ribosomal RNA, 468 nt
Filed under: uncultured bacterium
Lineage: Bacteria
Description: partial 16S ribosomal RNA
Rfam family: Bacterial small subunit ribosomal RNA
Source: RNAcentral